Molecule: ribosomal RNA, 460 nt
Filed under: uncultured bacterium
Lineage: Bacteria
Description: partial 16S ribosomal RNA
Rfam family: Bacterial small subunit ribosomal RNA
Source: RNAcentral
CCUACGGGUGGCAGCAGUGAGGAAUAUUGGUCAAUGGACGCAAGUCUGAACCAGCCAUGCAGCGUGCAGGAAGACGGCUCUAUGAGUUGUAAACUGCUUUUGUACGAGGGUAAACGCAGAUACGCGUAUCUUUCUGAAAGUAUCUUACGAAUAAGGAUCGGCUAACUCCGUGCCAGCAGCCGCGGUAAUACGGAGGAUUCAAGCGUUAUCCGGAUUUAUUGGGUUUAAAGGGUGCGUAGGCGGGCGGAUAAGUUAGAUGUGAAAUCCCGAGGCUCAACUUCGGAAUUGCCUCUGAUACUGGUCGGCUAGAGAGUAGUUGCGGUAGGCGGAAUGUAUGGUGUAGCGGUGAAAUGCUUAGAGAUCAUACAGAACACCGAUUGCGAAGGCAGCUUACCAAGCUACUUCUGACGUUGAGGCACGAAAGCGUGGGGAGCAAACAGGAUUAGAUACCCUUGUAGUC